GUGAAUCGCUGAAGUGGAACCGGAGAGAGUUAACAUAACUUGGUAGCUAUAUUCUCUAUAGUCGCUUAGCUGUGGCUUUGGGGGGUGGACGCUACCUGUUGUUGCGCUGACUGCGUUGAUCAUGCUUUCCUAACAAUGUAGUGUUGCCCACAUUGUGGUGUCUUGCUUAUUGGGAGGUUUGUCAUGGUUAACGUCAAGCCUUAGUUUCUAGGGAGUCAGUGUGAAAGUUAACCACCUUUCCGACCCGUCUUGAAACACGGACCGAGGAGUGUAAUUUACACGCGAGUCAAAGGGCUGAGGAAACCUUAUGGCAUAAUGAAAGUAAAGACCGGUUAACCGGUUGACAUGGGAUCCGACUGAACUUCUUCGAAACGGAGCACCAUGGCCCUGUCUUGUCUGCUUGCAGAUGGGCAGCGGUAGAGCGUGUAGGUUGCGACCCGAAAGAUGGUGAACUAUGCUUGAGCAGGACGAAGCCAGAGGAGACUCUGGUGGAAGUCCGUAUCGGUUCUGACGUGCAAAUCGAUCGAUAGACUUGAGUAUAGGGGCGAAAGACUAAUCGAACCGUCUAGUA
This 571-nucleotide ribosomal RNA is filed under the name Heterorhabditis indica. RNAcentral describes it as "partial large subunit ribosomal RNA". It matches the Rfam family "Eukaryotic large subunit ribosomal RNA", at positions 399 to 949 of the family's 3401-position model. Lineage: Eukaryota; Metazoa; Nematoda; Chromadorea; Rhabditida; Heterorhabditidae. The record is from RNAcentral.